AACGCACAUUGCGCCCAUUAGUAUUCUAGUGGGCAUGCCUGUUCGAGCGUCAUUACAACCCUCAAGUGCUUUAGUACUUGGUGUUGGGGCUUCUGCUGCUCGCAGCAGGCUCUGAAAGAUAGUGGCGAGGUCGCCGUGACCCUGAGCGUAGUAGUUUACACCUCGCUUCUGUGGCUACGGCGGAUUCUCAGCCGUGAAACCCCUAAUUUUCACAAGGUUGACCUCGGAUCAGGUAGGAAUACCCGCUGAACUUAA
This 255-nucleotide unclassified non-coding RNA is filed under the name uncultured Conlarium. RNAcentral describes it as "sequence contains ITS2". Lineage: Eukaryota; Fungi; Ascomycota; Sordariomycetes. The record is from RNAcentral.